RNAcentral lists this long non-coding RNA (1078 nucleotides) under Suricata suricatta (meerkat). RNAcentral describes it as "lncRNA (ENSSSUG00005017192.1)". The stretch from base 95 to 370 matches the Rfam family "SOX2 overlapping transcript exon 3". The record is from RNAcentral. Lineage: Eukaryota; Metazoa; Chordata; Mammalia; Carnivora; Herpestidae.
AGGAGCUGCACUAAUUGGGGGAGGGCUGUGACUUCCUAGGGGGAGGAAUGGUGUGUACUGAAGUAACAGACCUCUGUUGACCAAGGGACUGCAGUGGCAAAGCUAGGCUAGGUCUUGGAGGCUGGUGCAAGGCGAAGCGGGUGAAGGCAGGAGGCUGAUGGAGAGACUGGGGGGAAGAAAAGCCGAAAUGGAUUCACGGUGCCUUGGAUGGAGGACGAGAGGGGAAUUGCAGGCUCCUUCAACUCGUUCUGUCCGGUGAGAAGUGAUCAAGCUUGGGCUGACAAGAGGCUCAGGGAGCCCUCACGUUCUUUCGCUUUUUUACCUGCCAAUCAAACUGCUACAAGACAACACCCUGAUCUGGCAUGGACAUGUAAAAGCAAAACUGUAGUCUUGGAAAAGCGAAUUCACCAGUAGGGGGCGCACCAGCUACAUCCCUGAAACCAGACGCUCUGAAAAGCCUGGUGGCUGCGGUGUUGUCUUGUGAGCCUCUAACCUUUUCUCUUCCUGAUCCCCAUGUCCGUGUUUAGCUUAAUAUUACAUCUCGAAUAAACAGAAGACAUUAUUUUGUUUUAAAGAGUGCCAUAUUUUUAUCCGUUUCGAGAAGGCCAGUCGCACCCUUCCUGGGUUCCCAAGAACUAAAACAAACCGUAACUUACGAGAAGAAAAAAAAAAAAAAAAGGAAGAAAGAAACUGUUGGGGGAGGGGAGGUUGAUUGGAAAUAAUAAUUUAUAAAGAAAAGUCUACAGGAAUCUUUUUCUCAACUUUUCUGGCUUUCCAGUGAGCAUGCCUAUUUGGAGUUUGACAGGAACAGAAAAGCCCCUGAGGGCAGGGAUUGGAGAAGUUGGAGUGGGGGUAGUGAUGGUUAUGGGAAGAAGGCUAGUAAGGAACAAAACAAUGCAAAGUUUUGUAAAGAUAAUAAAUGGAACGUGGCCGACAGAUACUAUUCAGUACAUUUUCUUAGGGUGAGUAAGGGUAUAUGGAUCAGGGAAGGAGGGGGGCGGAGAGAGUGUUACAGAAGAAAGAAAAUAAGUAACCCUCAUGGUUUAAGCCCUUUAUAAAAAAGAAAUGGCAUCAGGAU